Molecule: long non-coding RNA, 930 nt
Filed under: Androctonus crassicauda
Lineage: Eukaryota; Metazoa; Arthropoda; Arachnida; Scorpiones; Buthidae
Source: RNAcentral
AAAAAAAAAACAUUGCCUUCUGAUGAAUGUCAACAUAAUUUACAUUUUCCAGAAACAACCAAGAUAGAAUGACGGAAAAUCUAGAUAUUUGAAAAACAAAUAUCUGGAUUUUCAAAAUAUCUGUGACUUCAUCUUUCCAAGUUACCAUAAUUAAACCACGUUUCUUAAGGAGUCCAAAAUAAACGAAGAGUUAUUAAGUAUUCUUAAUGCCCUAAGGAGAAACAUUUGUCCUUAUGGUAGAGAUUCGGACGUAGUUUUGUACUCUUAACUGAUAAAUUGAUUUUAUUAAACCCAAAUUAUCAGCAAAAUAACUGUUAUUAGAAUCAUGUGAGAAAAUAUUUAGAAUCGAUAUCAUAUCAUGAUUGUCUCUUCAAAAAGACGAGGGGAGACCUAUUUGAAAGCUCCAAUAAUCAUAGUCAUUACGAUGAUAUUAUGUUACGUUUCUAUAUAAAACGAUUUGUAUAAAUUUACGUCUUCUUUUUGGAUAUUUUUUCUUUGGAUGGGAUCUAAAUGCUUCUUCUAAUGCCAACUUUGAAGUUUAUAUUAAUUCAUAAUUAAUGCUGGGAAUUUCUAUUAUUUAUGCUGUCAAAUAUGUAUACAUUGUAUAAGAUAAUCCAAUAUUAUUCAUCCAUUCCAUUAUUCUACAUUUAUAAUUAAUAUAUUGUACACUUAACGAAGUUUUACGUAUUUGUAAAUACAUGUUGGAAGUUUAUGCUCCUAUUUAAUUUUGUGCAUGAUGACAAGACGAACAGAUGUAUGCCAUUUCCUGUUCAGCUUUCUCCCCAAUGUCUAAUAUCUAACCGAGAAAGUUUUGAAAUGCGAUUUAACAAGAAUUCGUUAGAAAUAAAUUUUUCUUACAGUAAAUUUCAUUUUUUAAAGAUUUAUAUUCUGAUUAUUUAUAUAAGAAAUAAUUUAAAAAUGAAAGAGUCG